UGGGGAAUUGUUCACAAUGGGCGCAAGCCUGAUGACGCAACGCCGCGUGGGGGAUGAAGGUCUUCGGAUUGUAAACCCCUGUCGAAUGGGACGAAAGACUCGCGAGUUAAUACUUCGCGGGAGUGACGGUACCGUUAAAGGAAGCCACGGCUAACUCUGUGCCAGCAGCCGCGGUAAUACAGAGGUGGCAAGCGUUGUUCGGAAUUACUGGGCGUAAAGGGCGCGUAGGCGGCCUACUAAGUCAGACGUGAAAUCCCCCGGCUUAACCUGGGAACUGCGUCUGAUACUGGAAGGCUUGAGUAUGGGAGAGGGAUGUAGAAUUCCAGGUGUAGCGGUGAAAUGCGUAGAUAUCUGGAGGAAUACCGGUGGCGAAGGCGGCAUCCUGGACCAUUACUGACGCUGAGGCGCGAAAGCUAGGGGAGCAAACGGGAUUAGAUACCCUUGUAGUCCCUGAGCGGGCUGGCAAGGCGCAU
This 473-nucleotide ribosomal RNA is filed under the name uncultured bacterium. RNAcentral's name for it is "bacterial SSU rRNA". It matches the Rfam family "Bacterial small subunit ribosomal RNA", at positions 355 to 825 of the family's 1533-position model. The record is from RNAcentral.